UUUAGUUAGGAAUUUUUUGUUUAGUUAAGAAUUUUCUACAAUGCCCAUGAGAUCUGGACAGCCUGUUAGAAUGAACUUAUAAACGGAUGGUUGGAACUAGUGGAAUGACUGGAUGAACAGAGGCAACAUAUGAAGAAUUGCCAGUUGGAUGAGGCAACAUAUGAAGAACAGAGGCAACAUAGCGUUGUAACUUGAAACAAAAUUAUCAAGUAACUUCAUGUCUCUGUUGCGCUUACAUGAUUAUUUCAUUGGAACUUGCACAUCUUUCUUACAUGUCUAGAGACAAAUUGCUUACACAAGUUGUUUACAUAAAUCGAAUGGGUAUUAAGUUAAAAUCAUGAUUGGAAUGUACUCACUAAUAUGACUUAGUCGGGUAGAUAAGGGUUCUUAGAAAAUUAUCAGGCUCAUGGUUUUGUACUGAGGCAGUUGAGUAUUUACAUCAUGUUUACUAUCUUCAGUGUAUGAAUUAUAUAAACAAUCGAUUGCUUUUUAUGCAUCUGUUGUAGUUGAUUAUUUACAGGUAUGUUAAAUGACAACUUAUGUUGCUUAUACAUAAUAUGACUUUGUUAUUAACUUGCUAACAACUUUUAUACAACCAUAUAUGAUUUUAUCUGUAGAGCCUUUCUGCACUUCUGCAUAUUGACAAGAUAUUUAAUUUAAACUAGGAUAUUAUGAAAAUCUGCAGGAGCAUGCUAACUAUUUUGUGUAAAUAUUAUUGAAAAUCCUCAGUAGUAACUCUGCAGUUUUUAGUCUUCUGUUUUCAAACCACUGGUUUAGUUGGUGGGCUAUCAGCUUACGUAUAUGGACAUCCCUCAUAUCAUAAUUUGUUUCAAGUUAGGUUCAAUUGCAGUGAAACAGAAUGACAUUGUUACUUCAAGUUACGUAUAUGGCAAAUAUAUGAAGAACUGCCAGAAUAUUUGGAGGAGGUGUUGUCAUUGGAACUUGCGCGUCAAAUAGGC
RNAcentral lists this long non-coding RNA (959 nucleotides) under Helianthus annuus (common sunflower). Its description in RNAcentral is "hypothetical non coding rna". The record is from RNAcentral. Lineage: Eukaryota; Viridiplantae; Streptophyta; Magnoliopsida; Asterales; Asteraceae.